This 262-nucleotide unclassified non-coding RNA is filed under the name uncultured fungus. RNAcentral's name for it is "partial contains 5.8S rRNA, ITS2 and 28S rRNA". It matches the Rfam family "Eukaryotic large subunit ribosomal RNA", at positions 668 to 961 of the family's 3401-position model. Lineage: Eukaryota; Fungi. The record is from RNAcentral.
AAGGAGUCUAACUGAUGUGCGAGUGUUUGGGUUCGAAAUCCCCGUGGCGAAAUGAAAGUAAAAGGGAGUUUCCGCUCGCUGCGGCAUCAAGGGACGAUGAGCAUAAAUGCUGGGACCCGAAAGAUGGUGAGCUAUGCCUGAACAGGGUGAAGCCAGGGGAAACUCUGGUGGAGGCUCGUAGAGGUUCUGACGUGCAAAUCGAUCGUCAGACGUGGGUAUAGGGGCGAAAGACUAAUCGAACCAUCUAGUAGCUGGUUCCCUC